This 375-nucleotide ribosomal RNA is filed under the name uncultured Glomeromycotina. RNAcentral describes it as "LSU rRNA". Lineage: Eukaryota; Fungi; Glomeromycota. The record is from RNAcentral.
UUGAAAGGGAAACGAUUGAAAUCAGUCGUACCAGCGGGAAAUCAACCUUUCGAGUGGGGGUUUUGGAGUUUUGAAGAGUGUCAAAACCUUUGAGAUUUCAAAAUAUUCGCUCUUUUGGUGUACUUUCUCGUGGGUAGGUUAACAUCGAUUUUGACCAUCAUAAAAAGAUUGGAGGAAUGUAGCUUCGAUCUUGUAUUGAAGUGUUAUAGCCUUUGGUAAAUGUGAUGAUUAGGAUCGAGGAUUGCAACGAAUACCCUUUUGGGCUAUCCGCCUGAUCUCUGAUACGUGGCCUUGGUAUCGAAAGCGUGCUUAUGGUAUUGAGGUAUUACGGUCAAAAGGUUAGAACGGAUUACAUUCGUUAAGGAUGUUGACGUA